GCAGUGAGUUCAAUGGCAGAGUGCUUGCCUAGCAUGCAUGAGGCCCUGGGUUUGAUCCCAAGUACAGCA
Molecule: transfer RNA, 69 nt
Filed under: Marmota monax (woodchuck)
Lineage: Eukaryota; Metazoa; Chordata; Mammalia; Rodentia; Sciuridae
Description: tRNA.Ala
Source: RNAcentral